Long non-coding RNA from Parus major (Great Tit), 1286 nucleotides. RefSeq lists it as uncharacterized. Lineage: Eukaryota; Metazoa; Chordata; Aves; Passeriformes; Paridae. The record is from RefSeq and is a predicted model, not a curated record. The transcript has 3 exons.
UGGUAAAGUCAGAUAAGCUCUGGCCCAAUACAACAAAACUGCAAGAUGACUGCCCUCACUCCUAGCAUGGACAGACUGCACACACACAGCUAAAAACUGCCACUCACUUCCCCUCCCGUCCCCCAAACCAUUCUGGUGGUGUGCCAGAUCUGCUGGAUCAGCUAAUCUUUUGUUAACUCAGUUAACCUUGCCAUCCAUCCCUGAGGCAUCGUCCCCUCUUCCCAGUGUCUUUCCAGGUGACAAAUGGGAAACAAUGCACUGAGAAACCUGACCCACAACAGGGGACCAGCUGUUGAACUGCAGAAAGGGAACUGAGAGCAACUGUGUUGCUGGACUGAUGGCUCGAGUAAUGGCCUUCUCGGGAAGCCUUGAAAAGCUCUGUGAGCAAUGACAGCACAGGGGGGAGAGAGCCCUAAAGAAAGCUUCACUUUGCUUUGAGAAAGAAAUUUUUGGAAUCCAGCAACCAGAAGAAGUGAGCGAGAGGGAAUGGAGGAUAGGCAAAAGCUUCAUAGGAAAAUCUCCCUUAUUUUCUGCAGCAACAAAAUCCACCACCAAUCAACAGGUCCCACCUACAGGCAGUUCUCCAUCUCCUUCCUCAAGUUUCAUUUCAUGGCCAUGUAUCUACUGAUUGCUACCAGAGUGCAGCAGCCACUUGGGAGAUUGCAAACUUCCCACUGUGCCAGGGAAGUUGGCAGGCUGCUCAGGGUUGUUAUGAGGAAAUACUAUGGACAAACUUAGGGAUUACACCACCUUUGCCUCGAGUAAUGCAAAGAAAAGUAACAAGAUCUGUUACAUUAAACACCUUCAUUCUGUAAACCACUGGAAAUAAAAAGUUAAUAAAUACAAGAAAGGAGGUCAAUUAACAUUUUGCCAAGAUUUGUUUCCAUGAUAAACUAUCUCCAGCAAAUAGCCAGGGAAGGGUUCCAAAUACUUGAUUGUCUGGACCUGUGACUUUGGAUAAAACACAAAGCAGAAGUAAAGGAACCAAUGGGCAAGAACUUCUGAGCUGUGCUAGGAAAUAGUAUUUGGUACUGCAAUCUGGGCAGCAAAGCAGGCUGCACACAGGCAGUACCAGGAGGACUAUCCAGAUGUGUCCCUGGAGAAGCUGUGCAGUGGAACAUGUACAGUUGUCAUGAUGUCAUUCCCCACUUGCUUUUUUCUGCCACAGGCAAUAAACGACUAUAGGAAAUACAGGGUGAUAACUUGGUUUUGGCACGAAGCAAUGCCAUGAAAGCCAACAUGGAUCUCUUUAUGAUACCUUUUGACUUCUAUAGACACUCAGUGGC